UACAGAGGUGGCAAGCGUUGUUCGGAAUUACUGGGCGUAAAGGGCGCGUAGGCGGCACGGCAAGUCGGGAGUGAAAGCCCGGGGCUCAACCCCGGAGGGUCUUCCGAAACUGCCGAGCUAGAGUGCGGAAGAGGCAAUCGGAAUUCCCAGUGUAGCGGUGAAAUGCGUAGAUAUUGGGAAGAACACCGGAGGCGAAGGCGGGUUGCUGGGCCGACACUGACGCUGAGGCGCGAAAGCCAGGGGAGCAAACGGG
Molecule: ribosomal RNA, 253 nt
Filed under: uncultured bacterium
Lineage: Bacteria
Description: partial 16S ribosomal RNA
Rfam family: Bacterial small subunit ribosomal RNA
Source: RNAcentral